GGGCAGUGUGAGCCUUUGAAGGGACAGGCUUACUACAAGAGGCAUGCAUCCCCUCUGCUCACAUUCGUUUGACUCCACUGACUGAAAGGGAUGAGGAUCUAAGAUGUAGCUUUGUGCCCAACAUAACAGGAGACACACAGAAGCCGGGGCAAGAUGGAGGAGUUGAUGAACAAAAGCAGCCGUUCCCAAGAAAGAACAAUGGCAUUCUCUGUGACCUGAGCACAGCUGGUAACACUGGAUCCUCAAACAUUAACUCCUUCCUGAAGACCCACAUUAACAUUUCCUCUAGCCACAUCUAUAAUCUACAGCAUCUCAGAUAAAUUGAACACCUUGCUUCUUCUUUUUGGUUUAAAAAAAUUUCUUCUAAUUGAAAAAAAUUAUGUUCUUUUAACAUUGAAGAACAGCUCCAGUA
This 412-nucleotide long non-coding RNA is filed under the name Capra hircus (goat). RNAcentral describes it as "lncRNA (ENSCHIG00000007399.1)". The record is from RNAcentral. Lineage: Eukaryota; Metazoa; Chordata; Mammalia; Artiodactyla; Bovidae.